This 305-nucleotide ribosomal RNA is filed under the name uncultured bacterium. Its description in RNAcentral is "bacterial SSU rRNA". It matches the Rfam family "Bacterial small subunit ribosomal RNA", at positions 334 to 636 of the family's 1533-position model. The record is from RNAcentral.
UGCCCCUACGGGGGGCAGCAGUGAGGAAUAUUGGUCAAUGGGCGAGAGCCUGAACCAGCCAAGUCGCGUGAGGGAAGACGGUCCUACGGGUUGUAAACCUCUUUUGUCAGGGAGCAAGAACGGAUACGUGUAUCCGAGCGAGAGUACCUGAAGAAAAAGCAUCGGCUAACUCCGUGCCAGCAGCCGCGGUAAUACAUAGGGAGCAAGCGUUAUCCGGAUUUAUUGGGUGUAAAGGGUGCGUAGACGGGAAAUUAAGUUAGUUGUGAAAUCCCUCGGCUUAACUGAGGAACUGCAACUAAAACUGA